RNAcentral lists this long non-coding RNA (492 nucleotides) under Brachypodium distachyon (stiff brome). RNAcentral's name for it is "long non-coding RNA (BDIS_LNC005437)". The record is from RNAcentral. Lineage: Eukaryota; Viridiplantae; Streptophyta; Magnoliopsida; Poales; Poaceae.
ACUGUACACGGAAAAACAAUCGGGAAAUUAGUACUCUUUUUUUUUAACAGCAGGGAAAUUAGUACUCUAUAUUACUUACAAGGUGUUGAGGUGAUGAGCAAGCAAAAUCUCAAAUCUAUCUAUCUAUUUUUUUUUAACAGCAGGGUUUUAACAGUAGAUUUUAUUUGUGGCAAGCAAAAUCUCAAAUCUAUCUAUUGUAUAAUUAAAAUUAAAAACAUGGCUAAAGUAUCAGAUCCAUUAGAACUACGGAGUAGAUUUAACAGUCAAGAUUUAAUAGAUGAACAUAAACUUCAAUGUUCUAAAUUCUAAUCAACUACAAAUUGGUUGACUCCAACCCGUGGGGCCGACUGGCCGUGCGUCCAAAGGACUCCAAGGACUCAAUGAGUCUUGAUUUCACUCUGCUAAUCAAUGAUAUUAAUCACCAAUUUGCUAAUCAUGUUUCUAGUCUUCUUCUUUUUAGAAACAAUGGGCGCCCCCAUCGAUUUCCCAUAA